CCGUGCUAGACGGGGAGGUAGCGGUGCCCUGUUGCCCGCAAUCCGCUACAGCGGGGUUGAAUUCCUGUUAGAGGUCUUAUCGAUGUGAGGUCUGACAUUCGCACGUAGUGUUGAGAGUCGGGUCCUCCGCAAUGAAUGCUUGUGAACCCGGUCAGGUCUGGAAGGAAGCAGCCGUAAGCAGGAUUGUUCAUGUGCCGGGGGAGUGCCUAACUUGAGCUAACGACGAAGGUGUCGCUCGGAUCGUAAGCAUCAAUAACAGGUGCACGG
Molecule: signal recognition particle RNA, 267 nt
Filed under: Paenibacillaceae bacterium
Lineage: Bacteria; Bacillati; Bacillota; Bacilli; Caryophanales; Paenibacillaceae
Description: signal recognition particle sRNA large type
Rfam family: Bacterial large signal recognition particle RNA
About the family: The signal recognition particle (SRP) is a universally conserved ribonucleoprotein involved in the co-translational targeting of proteins to membranes. Archaeal SRP consists of a 7S RNA and homologues of the eukaryotic SRP19 and SRP54 proteins.
Source: RNAcentral